This 2902-nucleotide ribosomal RNA is filed under the name Klebsiella pneumoniae. RNAcentral describes it as "23S ribosomal RNA". It matches the Rfam family "Bacterial large subunit ribosomal RNA". The record is from RNAcentral. Lineage: Bacteria; Pseudomonadati; Pseudomonadota; Gammaproteobacteria; Enterobacterales; Enterobacteriaceae.
GGUUAAGCGACUAAGCGUACACGGUGGAUGCCCUGGCAGUCAGAGGCGAUGAAGGACGUGCUAAUCUGCGAAAAGCGUCGGUAAGGUGAUAUGAACCGUUACAGCCGGCGAUGUCCGAAUGGGGAAACCCAGUGCAAUUCGUUGCACUAUCGUUAACUGAAUACAUAGGUUAACGAGGCGAACCGGGGGAACUGAAACAUCUAAGUACCCCGAGGAAAAGAAAUCAACCGAGAUUCCCCCAGUAGCGGCGAGCGAACGGGGAGCAGCCCAGAGUCUGAAUCAGCUUGUGUGUUAGUGGAACGGUCUGGAAAGUCCGACGGUACAGGGUGAUAGUCCCGUACACCAAAAUGCACAGGCUGUGAACUCGAAGAGUAGGGCGGGACACGUGGUAUCCUGUCUGAAUAUGGGGGGACCAUCCUCCAAGGCUAAAUACUCCUGACUGACCGAUAGUGAACCAGUACCGUGAGGGAAAGGCGAAAAGAACCCCGGCGAGGGGAGUGAAAAAGAACCUGAAACCGUGUACGUACAAGCAGUGGGAGCACCUUCGGGUGUGACUGCGUACCUUUUGUAUAAUGGGUCAGCGACUUAUAUUCUGUAGCAAGGUUAACCGUAUAGGGGAGCCGCAGGGAAACCGAGUCUUAACUGGGCGUUAAGUUGCAGGGUAUAGACCCGAAACCCGGUGAUCUAGCCAUGGGCAGGUUGAAGGUUGGGUAACACUAACUGGAGGACCGAACCGACUAAUGUUGAAAAAUUAGCGGAUGACUUGUGGCUGGGGGUGAAAGGCCAAUCAAACCGGGAGAUAGCUGGUUCUCCCCGAAAGCUAUUUAGGUAGCGCCUCGUGAAUUCAUCUUCGGGGGUAGAGCACUGUUUCGGCUAGGGGGUCAUCCCGACUUACCAACCCGAUGCAAACUACGAAUACCGAAGAAUGUUAUCACGGGAGACACACGGCGGGUGCUAACGUCCGUCGUGAAGAGGGAAACAACCCAGACCGCCAGCUAAGGUCCCAAAGUCAUGGUUAAGUGGGAAACGAUGUGGGAAGGCACAGACAGCCAGGAUGUUGGCUUAGAAGCAGCCAUCAUUUAAAGAAAGCGUAAUAGCUCACUGGUCGAGUCGGCCUGCGCGGAAGAUGUAACGGGGCUAAACCAUGCACCGAAGCUGCGGCAGCGACACUAUGUGUUGUUGGGUAGGGGAGCGUUCUGUAAGCCUGCGAAGGUGACCUGUGAGGGUUGCUGGAGGUAUCAGAAGUGCGAAUGCUGACAUAAGUAACGAUAAAGCGGGUGAAAAGCCCGCUCGCCGGAAGACCAAGGGUUCCUGUCCAACGUUAAUCGGGGCAGGGUGAGUCGACCCCUAAGGCGAGGCCGAAAGGCGUAGUCGAUGGGAAACAGGUUAAUAUUCCUGUACUUGGUGUUACUGCGAAGGGGGGACGGAGAAGGCUAUGUUAGCCGGGCGACGGUUGUCCCGGUUUAAGCAUGUAGGCUGGUUAUCCAGGCAAAUCCGGAUAAUCAAGGCUGAGGUGUGAUGACGAGGCACUACGGUGCUGAAGUAACAAAUGCCCUGCUUCCAGGAAAAGCCUCUAAGCAUCAGGUAACAUCAAAUCGUACCCCAAACCGACACAGGUGGUCAGGUAGAGAAUACCAAGGCGCUUGAGAGAACUCGGGUGAAGGAACUAGGCAAAAUGGUGCCGUAACUUCGGGAGAAGGCACGCUGGUGUGUAGGUGAAGUCCCUGCGGAUGGAGCUGAGACCAGUCGAAGAUACCAGCUGGCUGCAACUGUUUAUUAAAAACACAGCACUGUGCAAACACGAAAGUGGACGUAUACGGUGUGACGCCUGCCCGGUGCCGGAAGGUUAAUUGAUGGGGUUAUCCGUAAGGAGAAGCUCUUGAUCGAAGCCCCGGUAAACGGCGGCCGUAACUAUAACGGUCCUAAGGUAGCGAAAUUCCUUGUCGGGUAAGUUCCGACCUGCACGAAUGGCGUAAUGAUGGCCAGGCUGUCUCCACCCGAGACUCAGUGAAAUUGAACUCGCUGUGAAGAUGCAGUGUACCCGCGGCAAGACGGAAAGACCCCGUGAACCUUUACUAUAGCUUGACACUGAACAUUGAGCCUUGAUGUGUAGGAUAGGUGGGAGGCUUUGAAGCGUGGACGCCAGUCUGCGUGGAGCCAACCUUGAAAUACCACCCUUUAAUGUUUGAUGUUCUAACGUUGGCCCCUUACCGGGGUUGCGGACAGUGUCUGGUGGGUAGUUUGACUGGGGCGGUCUCCUCCCAAAGCGUAACGGAGGAGCACGAAGGUUAGCUAAUCCUGGUCGGACAUCAGGAGGUUAGUGCAAUGGCAUAAGCUAGCUUGACUGCGAGCGUGACGGCGCGAGCAGGUGCGAAAGCAGGUCAUAGUGAUCCGGUGGUUCUGAAUGGAAGGGCCAUCGCUCAACGGAUAAAAGGUACUCCGGGGAUAACAGGCUGAUACCGCCCAAGAGUUCAUAUCGACGGCGGUGUUUGGCACCUCGAUGUCGGCUCAUCACAUCCUGGGGCUGAAGUAGGUCCCAAGGGUAUGGCUGUUCGCCAUUUAAAGUGGUACGCGAGCUGGGUUUAGAACGUCGUGAGACAGUUCGGUCCCUAUCUGCCGUGGGCGCUGGAGAAUUGAGGGGGGCUGCUCCUAGUACGAGAGGACCGGAGUGGACGCAUCACUGGUGUUCGGGUUGUCAUGCCAAUGGCACUGCCCGGUAGCUAAAUGCGGAAGAGAUAAGUGCUGAAAGCAUCUAAGCACGAAACUUGCCCCGAGAUGAGUUCUCCCUGAGACUAUAAGUCUCCUGAAGGAACGUUAAAGACGAUGACGUUGAUAGGCCGGGUGUGUAAGCGCAGCGAUGCGUUGAGCUAACCGGUACUAAUGAACCGUGAGGCUUAACCUU